This 420-nucleotide ribosomal RNA is filed under the name uncultured Chroococcidiopsis sp. RNAcentral's name for it is "bacterial SSU rRNA". It matches the Rfam family "Bacterial small subunit ribosomal RNA", at positions 356 to 790 of the family's 1533-position model. The record is from RNAcentral. Lineage: Bacteria; Bacillati; Cyanobacteriota; Cyanophyceae; Chroococcidiopsidales; Chroococcidiopsidaceae.
GGGGAAUUUUCCGCAAUGGGCGAAAGCCUGACGGAGCAAUACCGCGUGAGGGAGGAAGGCUCUUGGGUUGUAAACCUCUUUUCUCAGGGAAGAACGCAAUGACGGUACCUGAGGAAUCAGCAUCGGCUAACUCCGUGCCAGCAGCCGCGGUAAUACGGAGGAUGCAAGCGUUAUCCGGAAUGAUUGGGCGUAAAGGGUUCGCAGGUGGUAGUGAAAGUUUGCUGUUAAAAGUCGGGGCUCAACCCCGAACCGGCGGUGAAAACUACACAACUAGAGUGCGGUAGGGGCAGAGGGAAUUCCUGGUGUAGCGGUGAAAUGCGUAGAGCUCAGGAAGAACACCGGUGGCGAAAGCGCUCUGCUAGACCUGCACUGACACUGAGGGACGAAAGCUAGGGGAGCGAAUGGGAUUAGAUACCCCAG